RNAcentral lists this ribosomal RNA (164 nucleotides) under uncultured bacterium. RNAcentral's name for it is "partial 16S rRNA". It matches the Rfam family "Bacterial small subunit ribosomal RNA", at positions 355 to 511 of the family's 1533-position model. The record is from RNAcentral.
UAGGGAAUCUUCCACAAUGGGCGAAAGCCUGAUGGAGNAACGCCGCGUGUGUGAUGAAGGGUUUCGGCUCGUAAAACACUGUUGUAAGAGAAGAAUGACAUUGAGAGUAACUGUUCAAUGUGUGACGGUAUCUUACCAGAAAGGAACGGCUAAAUACGUGCUAG